Molecule: ribosomal RNA, 840 nt
Filed under: uncultured bacterium
Lineage: Bacteria
Description: bacterial SSU rRNA
Rfam family: Bacterial small subunit ribosomal RNA
Source: RNAcentral
UAUGGCUCAGAACGAACGCUGGCGGCAGGCCUAACACAUGCAAGUCGAGCGCCCAGCAAUGGGAGCGGCGGACGGGUGAGUAACGCGUGGGAAUUUUUCCUGGAGUACGGAACAACCGAGGGAAACUUCGGCUAAUACCGUAUGAUAUCGAGAGAUCAAAGAUUUAUCGCUCUGGGGUGAGCCCGCGUCAGAUUAGGUAGUUGGUGGGGUAACGGCCUACCAAGCCUGCGAUCUGUAGCUGGUCUGAGAGGACGAUCAGCCACACUGGGACUGAGACACGGCCCAGACUCCUACGGGAGGCAGCAGUGGGGAAUCUUGCGCAAUGGGCGAAAGCCUGACGCAGCCAUGCCGCGUGAGUGAAGAAGGUCUUAGGAUUGUAAAGCUCUUUCGCUCGUGACGAUGAUGACGGUAACGAGAGAAGAAGCCCCGGCUAACUUCGUGCCAGCAGCCGCGGUAAUACGAAGGGGGCUAGCGUUGUUCGGAAUUACUGGGCGUAAAGCGCGCGUAGGCGGUUUUGCAAGCCAGAGGUGAAAUGCCUGAGCUCAACUUAGGAAUUGCCUUUGGGACUGCGAGGCUUUGAGGACUGGAGAGGUGAGUGGAAUUCCCAGUGUAGAGGUGAAAUUCGUAGAUAUUGGGAAGAACACCGGUGGCGAAGGCGGCUCACUGGCCAGUUUCUGACGCUGCAGCGCGAAAGCGUGGGGAUCAAACAGGAUUAGAUACCCUGGUAGUCCACGCUGUAAACGAUGAGUGCUAGGCGUCGGCAUGCUUGCAUGUCGGUGCCGCAGCUAACGCGUGAAGCACUCCGCCUGGGGAGUACGGUCGCAAGAUUAAAACUCAAAU